This 503-nucleotide ribosomal RNA is filed under the name uncultured bacterium. RNAcentral's name for it is "bacterial SSU rRNA". It matches the Rfam family "Bacterial small subunit ribosomal RNA", at positions 8 to 507 of the family's 1533-position model. The record is from RNAcentral.
AGAGUUUGAUCAAUGGCUCAGAUUGAACGCUGGCGGAAUGCUUUACACAUGCAAGUCGAACGGCUAGCACGGGGCAACCUGGUGGCGAGUGGCGAACGGGUGAGUAAUACAUCGGAACGUGCCCAAUCGUGGGGAUAACGUAGCGAAAGUUACGCUAAUACCGCAUACGAUCUACGGAUGAAAGCGGGGGAUCGCAAGACCUCGCGCGAGUGGAGCGGCCGAUGUCAGAUUAGGUAGUUGGUGGGGUAAAGGCUCACCAAGCCAACGAUCUGUAGCUGGUCUGAGAGGACGACCAGCCACACUGGAACUGAGACACGGUCCAGACUCCUACGGGAGGCAGCAGUGGGGAAUUUUGGACAAUGGGCGCAAGCCUGAUCCAGCCAUUCCGCGUGCAGGAUGAAGGCCUUCGGGUUGUAAACUGCUUUUGUACGGAACGAAACGGCGAGCUCUAAUACAGUUUGCUAAUGACGGUACCGUAAGAAUAAGCACCGGCUAACUACGUG